CAGGAUGAACGCUAGCUACAGGCUUAACACAUGCAAGUCGAGGGGCAGCAUGGUCUUAGCUUGCUAAGAUGAUGGCGACCGGCGCACGGGUGAGUAACGCGUAUCCAACCUUCCCUAUAGUAGGGGAUAGCCCGUAGAAAUGCGGAUUAAUACCCUAUGUUGUAUUUAGACGACAUCUGACGAAUACCAAAGGUUCACCGCUAUAGGAUGGGGGAUGCGUCUGAUUAGGUAGUUGGUGAGGUAACGGCCCACCAAGCCGACGAUCAGUAGCCGACUUGAGAGAGUGAUCGGCCACAUUGGGACUGAGACACGGCCCAGACUCCUACGGGAGGCAGCAGUAGGGAAUAUUGCACAAUGGGGGAAACCCUGAUGCAAGCGACGCCGCGUGAGUGAUUGAAGUAUUUCGGUACGUAAAGCUCUAUCAGCAGGGAAGAUAAUGACGGUACCUGACUAAGAAGCCCCGGCUAACUACGUGCCAGCCGCGGC
Molecule: ribosomal RNA, 486 nt
Filed under: uncultured bacterium
Lineage: Bacteria
Description: bacterial SSU rRNA
Rfam family: Bacterial small subunit ribosomal RNA
Source: RNAcentral